CCUACGGGUGGCAGCAGUGGGGAAUAUUGGACAAUGGGCGAAAGCCUGAUCCAGCCAUGCCGCGUGUGUGAAGAAGGCCUUCGGGUUGUAAAGCACUUUCAGUGGGGAAGAAAGCCUUGGGGCUAAUACCCUCGAGGAAGGACAUCACCCACAGAAGAAGCACCGGCUAACUCCGUGCCAGCAGCCGCGGUAAUACGGAGGGUGCGAGCGUUAAUCGGAAUUACUGGGCGUAAAGCGCGCGUAGGCGGUCUGAUAAGCCGGUUGUGAAAGCCCCGGGCUCAACCUGGGAACGGCAUCCGGAACUGUCAGGCUAGAGUGCAGGAGAGGGAGGUAGAAUUCCCGGUGUAGCGGUGAAAUGCGUAGAGAUCGGGAGGAAUACCAGUGGCGAAGGCGGCCUUCUGGACUGACACUGACGCUGAGGUGCGAAAGCGUGGGUAGCAAACAGGAUUAGAUACCCGUGUAGUC
RNAcentral lists this ribosomal RNA (465 nucleotides) under Vreelandella stevensii. RNAcentral's name for it is "partial 16S ribosomal RNA". It matches the Rfam family "Bacterial small subunit ribosomal RNA", at positions 338 to 795 of the family's 1533-position model. The record is from RNAcentral. Lineage: Bacteria; Pseudomonadati; Pseudomonadota; Gammaproteobacteria; Oceanospirillales; Halomonadaceae.